Molecule: ribosomal RNA, 1926 nt
Filed under: Triticum aestivum (bread wheat)
Lineage: Eukaryota; Viridiplantae; Streptophyta; Magnoliopsida; Poales; Poaceae
Description: partial small subunit ribosomal RNA
Source: RNAcentral
AUGCAAGAGCGCAAAGUGGUUGCUUAUGCCUCUCGGCAAUUGCGCCCUCACGAAGAGAACUACCCAGUUCACGACCUCGAACUUGCUGCUGUCAUUCAUGCGCUAAAACAGUGGCGACAUUACCUACUCGGUAAUCGUUGCGAGAUCUUCACUGACCACCAAAGUCUGAAGUAUCUGUUUACUCAGCCAGACCUGAACCUCCGUCAGCAGAGAUGGAUGGAGACUGUUGCAGACUUUGAUUUGGGUAUUUCCUAUACCCCAGGCAAGGCUAAUGUAAUGGCUGAUGCCUUGAGCCGCAAGUCUUACUGCAACCACCUCCAGGUUCACAAAGUUCAGCCCUCACUUGUUGAAGAAUUCAGAAAGCUAAACCUCCAUAUUGUUCCUCCGGGUGCACUCGCUCCCCCUCCUCCGGAGUUCCGCAAGAUGAAUCUCCGUGUUGUUUCCCAGGGUUCCCUCUAUACCCUGGCUGUUGAACCCGAUCUCGUGGGCACCAUAAAGACAAUGCAGGGAUUUGACUCUAAAGUCUACAAGAUUAAGCAAGACCUCAAAGAAGGAAGUCCCUCAUCCUUCACUAUUGCUGAUGAUGGCGCCUUGUACUUCAAAGGCCGCCUAGUGGUGCCGUGUAAGAAGGAAAACCUGAAUAUGACUCAGGAGGUUAUGAAAGAAGCUCAUGAUACGCCUCUAUGUAUCCACCCUGGUAGUACAAAGAUGUACCAAGACAUCCGCCAGAGAUUCUGGUGGUCUAACAUGAAGCAAGACAUUGCUCGUUAUGUUGCUGAAUGUGACGUUUGCCGUCGUAUCAAAGCAGAACAUCAAAGGCCUGCUGGAACUCUGCAACCUAUAUCUAUUCCUGAAUGGAAAUGGGACCAUGUCGAGAUGGACUUCGUUACUGGAUUUCCCAAAUUGCAAAAGGGUAAUGAUGCUAUUCUUGUCGUCAUUGACCGACUUUCUAAGGUUGCACAUUUUCUGGCGGUCAAAGAAACGAUCACUGCUAGUCAGCUUGCAACUCUCUACAUGUCCAGAAUUGUUUCGCUUCACGGUAUUCCACUGGUUAUCAGUUCAGACCGUGGCAGUUUAUUCACUUCAAGAUUCUGGGCAAGUUUCCAAGAAGCUAUGGGCACUCAUCUGUCUUUCAGCACUGCGUUUCAUCCGCAGUCACAAGGGCAAGUUGAACGUGUCAACCAAGUUCUCGAAGACAUGCUUCGAGCUUGUGUUAUUUCCUUCGGCAAGAAAUGGGAGGAAUCUCUCCCGUAUGCUGAGUUCUCUUAUAAUAAUAGCUAUCAAGCUAGUCUGAAGAUGGCCCCCUUCAAAGUGUUAUAUGGACAAAAGUGCCGAACCCCUCUGAACUGGUCAGAAACUGGGGAACGUCCACUCUUCGGUCCGGAUAUUAUCCAACAUGCCGAAGAGCAAGUCCGCAUUAUUCGCGAGAAUCUCAAGACUGCUCAGUCACGCCAAAAGAGUAAUUAUGACCGUCAUCAUAAAGACAUGGUCUAUCAACCUGGCGAAAAGGCCUAUCUUCGAGUUACACCAAUGAAGGGUGCUCACCGCUUCGGGAUCAAGGGCAAGCUAGCUCCUCGCUAUAUUGUCCCAUUCACUAUUCUCGAGAGGCGUGGAAAGGUGGCAUAUCAACUGGAGCUUCCGCCGAACCUUUCUCAGGUUCACGAUGUGUUCCAUGUAUCACAGCUCCGCCGUUGCUUCAAGGACCCGAUCCGAGGAGUGGAUCAUGAAGUGCUCGAAUUGCAACAGGACCUCUUCUAUAAAGAGCAUCCGGUCCGCAUUCUCGACCAAGCUGAACGCCGCACACGCCAGAAGGCGAUCAAGUUCCUCAAAGUUCAGUGGUCGCACCAUUCUGAAGAUGAAGCCACUUGGGAACGUGAGGAUCGCCUGCGUGAUGAAUACCCCGCACUGUUUCCUUCUACCUCCUAA